GACGAACGCUGGCGGCGUGCCUAAUACAUGCAGGUUGAGCGCUGAAGGUUGGUACUUGUCCCGACUGGCUGAGCAGCGAACGGGUGAGUAACGCGUGGGGAAUCUGCCUUUGAGCGGGGGACAACAUUUGGAAACGAAUGCUAAUACCGCAUAAAAACUUUAAACACAAGUUUUAAGUUUGAAAGAUGCAAUUGCAUCACUCAAGGAUGAUCCCGCGUUGUAUUAGCUAGUUGGUGAGGUAAAGGCUCACCAAGGCGAUGAUACAUAGCCGACCUGAGAGGGUGAUCGGCCACAUUGGGACUGAGACACGGCCCAAACUCCUACGGGAGGCAGCAGUAGGGAAUCUUCGGCAAUGGACGAAAGUCUGACCGAGCAACGCCGCGUGAGUGAAGAAGGGUUUCGGAUCGUAAAACUCUGUUGGUAGAGAAGAACGUUGGUGAGAGUGGAAAGCUCAUCAAGUGACGGUAACUACCCAGAAAGGGACGGCUAACUACGUG
Molecule: ribosomal RNA, 497 nt
Filed under: uncultured bacterium
Lineage: Bacteria
Description: partial 16S ribosomal RNA
Rfam family: Bacterial small subunit ribosomal RNA
Source: RNAcentral